This 3133-nucleotide ribosomal RNA is filed under the name Hydra vulgaris (swiftwater hydra). RNAcentral describes it as "eukaryotic LSU rRNA". The stretch from base 1010 to 3133 matches the Rfam family "Eukaryotic large subunit ribosomal RNA". The record is from RNAcentral. Lineage: Eukaryota; Metazoa; Cnidaria; Hydrozoa; Anthoathecata; Hydridae.
AUCAUACUAAUUAGUCGCACUUUUAGUUUAAAAUCUUAGAAUAUUACAUAUCCUUAUAAAAAUUAGGAAGUAUAUUACACACUAUAAGAAAAAAAAGUUUUAAAUAUCACAUCCCCAUGUAUAUUGUUAAUUAAUGUUAUAAAAAUUAUUUGUAUUUAAUGCUUAGAAUGUUAGAAUAUCACAUUGCUUUAAAGAAAUUACGAAAUAUAUGGCAUGCUACCGGUAUUAUAUGUUAAGAAUAUUACAUCACCCAUGUAUUUUGUUAAAAAGAAACAAACUAGAUUGUGCUUAGAAUAUUAGAAUAUCACAUCACCUUAUUAAAAUUAAAAUAUUUACUAUAUAAAGUUUAGAAUAUUACAUUAUCAAUGUAUUUUGUUUAAAAACAACAAAAUGGGUAGCGUAUAGAAUGUUAGAAUAUCGCAUAACCAUAAUAAAACUAGAAAACAUACUAGUUAAUGUUUAGAAUAUUACAACACCCAUGUAUUUUGUUAAAGAACAACAAACUAGAUUGUGCUUAGAAUGUUAGAAUAUCACAUCACCUUAAUAAAAUUAAAAUAUUCACUAUUUGAAGUUUAAAAUAUUACAUUAUCAAUUUGUUUUGUUUAAAAACAACAUACUGGAUAGUGCCUCAAAUGUAUGAACAUCGCAUCUUCUUAAAAAAACCGGAAAAUACAGUAUUACAUGUUUAAAAUAUUACAUCACCCAUGUAUUUUGUUAAAAAAUAACAAACUAGAUUGUGCUUAGAUUGUUAGAAUAUUACAUUACCUUAAUAAAAUGAAAAUAUACACCAUUUGAAGUUUAGAAUUUUACAUUAUCAAUUUAUUUUAUUUAAAAACAACAUAAUAGGUAGCGUUUAGAAUGUUAGAAUAUCGCAUCACCUUAACAAAACUAGAAAAUACACUAUUAAGUGAUUAGAAUAUUACAUCACCCAUGUAUUUUGUUAACAAACAACAUACUGGAUAGUGCUUUGAAUGUUAGAAUAUCUUAUCACCUUAACAAAACUAUAAAAUACACUAUUACAUGUUUAGAAUAUUACACCACCUAUGUAUUUUAUAAAUAAACAACAUACUAGAUAGUGCUUAGAAUGUUAGAAUAUUGCAUAACCUUAAUAAAACUAAAAAUCUUACUUUUAAAUGUUUAGAAUAUUACAUCACCAAUGUAUUUUGUUUAAAAACAACAUAUUGGAUAGUGCUUAGAAUGUAUGAAUGUCGUAUCCUCUUAAUAACACUAGAAAAUAAACUUAUAAAUGUUUAGAAUAUUACAUAACCCAUGUACUUUGUUAAAAAUCAAUAUACUGGAUAGUGCUUAGAUUGUUAGAAUAUCACAUUACCUUAACAAAACUAGAAAAUACACUAUUACAUGUUUAGAAUAUUACACCACCCACAAGUUUUGUUAAUAAACAACAUACUAGAUAGUGCUUAGAAUGUUAGAAUGUCGCAUCACGUCAAUAAAACUAGAAAAUACACUAUUAAAUGUUUAGAAUUUUACAUCACUCGUAUAUUUUCCGUACCGAAACGCAACGCAAAUGAACUCGAUGACGUUGGCAGGAACCCUGGUAAUAGUUCUUUUUCCUUGUUAACAGCCAGACACUAUGAAAUCUGAUAGCCAGGAGAUAAGGUUUAACAUUCAGUAAAGCAAUACACGUUUUGAAGCGUUCAUGACGGCCCUUGAAAAUUCAAGGGGAAAGACUGAUUUUUACGUCCAUUCAUUCUCAUAACCGCAGCAGGUGUCAUAAGUUAGUAGCUUCCAGUCCAUAGAAUAAUGUAGGUAAGAGAAGUCGGCAAAAUAGAUACGUAACUUCGGGAAAAGGAUUGGUUCUAAGGAUUGGGUCUCUCGGGCUGAGACUUGAAGCGAGUGGCACCGACAUUGGCUGGGUCGUGGCUUCUCCAGCUCACAUCGCAGGGGCUGUGGGCUGGAAUGGGAACUUAGAACUGGUACGGAAAAGGGGAAUCCGACUGUUUAAUUGUAAUAAAGCAUUGCGAUAGCCGAAAACGGUGUUGACGCAAUGUGAUUUCUGCCCAGGGCUCUGAUUGGGAAAGUGAAGAAAUUCAACCAAGCGUGGGCAAACGACGGGAGUAACUAUGACUCUCUUAAUUUAGCCUAAUGCCUCGUUAUCUAAUUAGUGACUCGCAUUAACUGACUAACUUGAUUCCCACUGUCCCAAUCUACUAUCUAGCGAGACCACAGAUAAAGUAACGGGCAUGGCAAAAUCAGCAAGAAAAGAAGGUCCAGUUGAGCUUGACUCUUGUCUGACUCAGUGAAAAAACAUAGGAGAUGUAGGAUAGGUGGGAUACAGCGAGUGAAAUACCACUACUCUUAUUGUUUUUUAACUUUAUGAUUAAGCUGAGGCUGGCUUCACAGUCCACUUUCUAGAAUUAAGCUGUGUCGAAGACACUGUCAGGUUGUGAGUUUUGCUGGAGCGGCACAUUUGUCAAAUGAUAACGCAGGUGUCCUAAGGUGAGCUCAAUAAAAACAGAAAUCUCACGUAGAACAAAAGGGUAAAUAUUCACUUGAUUUUGAUUUUCAGUAUUAAUAAAAACUGUGAAAGUAUGGCCAUUCAAUUCUUUAGUCUUUAUGAAUUUUAAGCUGGAGGUGUCAGAAAAGUUAUCACAGGGAUAACUGACUUGUAGUAGCCCAACGUUCAUAGCAACGUUGCUUUUUGAUUCUUCAAUGACGGCUUUUUCUAUCAUUGUGAAGCAGAAAUCACCAAGUGUUGAAUUGUUCACCCACUAAUAGGGAACGUGAGCUGGGUUUAGACCGCUAGGAGACAGGUUAGAUUUACCCUUCUGAUGAACUGUUGUUGUAAUAGUAAUUCUGCUGAGUAAAAAAGGAAUUAGAGAUUCAGACAAUUGGCAUUUGCACUUGAUUGAAAAGGCAAAGGUGCGAAGCUACCACUUAUUGGAUUAUGACUAAACGCCUCUAAAUCAGAAGCCGUUCUAGAAAGCAAUCAUAAUUAUGUCUGGAAGUUCUUAGGCUGGAGGGGGAAAGGUCGUGAGUCUCAAUGCACCGACUCGGAGAAAAACUGGUAAUUUAGUUUUUUAAUAAGGUAAUUUUUUUAAAUAUUAAAAUGAUGGCGAAAUUCCAAUAAUCAAUCAGCUUCAGCUUCAAUCUCAGGCUUAAAAUGUUCUAAAUA